RNAcentral lists this ribosomal RNA (424 nucleotides) under uncultured bacterium. RNAcentral describes it as "partial 16S ribosomal RNA". It matches the Rfam family "Bacterial small subunit ribosomal RNA", at positions 360 to 776 of the family's 1533-position model. The record is from RNAcentral.
AAUUUUGGACAAUGGGCGAAAGCCUGAUCCUGCCAUGCCGCGUGUGUGAAGAAGGUCUUCGGAUUGUAAAUCACUUUAUGUUGGGAGGAAGGGGUUGAAGCUAAUACCUCAAAUCUUUGACGUUACCAACAGAAUAAGCACCGUCUAACUCUGUGCUAGCAGCCGCGGUAAUACAGAGGGUGCAAGCGUUAAUCGGAAUUACUGGGCGUAAAGGGCGCGUAGGUGGUUCAGUAAGAUGGAAGUGAAAUCCCCGGGCUUAACCUGGGAACUGCUUUCAUAACUGCUGAGCUAGAGUACGGUAGAGGGUAGUGGAAUUUCCUGUGUAGCGGUGAAAUGCGAAGAUAUAGGAAGGAACACCAGUGGCGAAGGCGACUACCUGGACUGAUACUGACACUGAGGUGCGAAAGCGUGGGGAGCAAACAGG